Molecule: ribosomal RNA, 459 nt
Filed under: uncultured bacterium
Lineage: Bacteria
Description: partial 16S ribosomal RNA
Rfam family: Bacterial small subunit ribosomal RNA
Source: RNAcentral
CUACGGGCUGCUCCAGUGAGGAAUAUUGGUCAAUGGGCGCAAGCCUGAACCAGCCAUGCCGCGUGAAGGAUGACGGCCCUAUGGGUUGUAAACUUCUUUUAUACGGGAAGAAACGCCUCUACGUGUAGAGGUUUGACGGUACCGUACGAAUAAGCAUCGGCUAACUCCGUGCCAGCAGCCGCGGUAAUACGGAGGAUGCAAGCGUUAUCCGGAUUUAUUGGGUUUAAAGGGUACGUAGGCGGAAGAUUGAGUCAGUAGUGAAAUCCUGCAGCUUAACUGUAGAACUGUUAUUGAUACUGGUUUUCUUGAAUGUAGUUGAGGUAGGCGGAAUAAGUAAUGUAGCGGUGAAAUGCUUAGAUAUUACUUAGAACACCGAUUGCGAAGGCAGCUUACUAAGCUAUGAUUGACGCUGAGGUACGAAAGCGUGGGGAGCGAACAGGAUUAGAUACCCGAGUAGUC